Saccostrea echinata is the source of this 297-nucleotide long non-coding RNA. RefSeq lists it as uncharacterized. NCBI's taxonomy places the organism in Eukaryota, Metazoa, Mollusca, Bivalvia, Ostreida, Ostreidae. The transcript is spliced from 3 exons. The record is from RefSeq and is a predicted model, not a curated record.
UAUGCAGUGGAUAAAUGCAACAAUCAGGCAAUCUUUAAAGAGAAUAGGGAUAAAAUAAGAGACCUGGGCCUUGUUUAUCUUUUUGAUGAGAAGAUGAUGACGUUAUUUCGGGAAAUCAUGGAAAACUGAGACGAUCCGCACUAUCUCCCUAGGUCCCUUUCUGUUCAUUAAGCUAUCACAGAACUGGUUAAAACUAACAUUUACAUCAGCUAGAACUAUCAAAAUAGAUGCAUCAAUUUCUCCACUGGCUACUCCCAAACAAUUUGAACAAUUCAUUCAGGCAGCAAGUGUUUCCAC